This 220-nucleotide unclassified non-coding RNA is filed under the name plant metagenome. RNAcentral's name for it is "partial contains small subunit ribosomal RNA, internal transcribed spacer 1, and 5.8S ribosomal RNA". The record is from RNAcentral.
UUUCCGUAGGUGAACCUGCGGAAGGAUCAUUACAGAGUUCAUGCCCUCACGGGUAGAUCUCCCACCCUUGAAUAUUUAUACCUUAGUUGCUUUGGCAGGCCGUGGAAACACCAUGGGCUCCGGCUUAUGCGUGCCUGCCAGAGGAAACAAACUCUGUUUUUAGUGAUGUCUGAGUACUAUAUAAUAGUUAUAACUUUCAACAACGGAUCUCUUGGUUCUG